RNAcentral lists this ribosomal RNA (399 nucleotides) under Triticum aestivum (bread wheat). Its description in RNAcentral is "partial small subunit ribosomal RNA". The record is from RNAcentral. Lineage: Eukaryota; Viridiplantae; Streptophyta; Magnoliopsida; Poales; Poaceae.
AUGCACUUUAGCAAGGUGAUUCUUCUAUUGAUGAGUUCUAUUCAUAGUGCUCUGCCAUCUGGCGCCAGCUUGACUCUCUUCGGACAGUUUUUUGUGGAACCUGUCGUUGCUGUCAGACUACUCGGUCUGAUCUGGAGUUUCAGCGGGUUCAUGAGUUCUUAUCUCGUCUCCGGUCUGCGUUUGAGCCUCGACGUGCUCACUUGCUUGCUCGUGGUCGUGUUCCUAUUUUGGAGGUACUUGCCGAGCUUCGUGCUCAGGAGACUCGCCUUCACUCUGCUGGGUUGCUUCUGGUUCCGUCAGUGCUGGCCGUCCGAGCUCCUGUGUCGUCUGCUCGCCUCACCGCUCCACCGCUUCUGCCUACUCCUUCAGGGGGGGGGUCAGCCGUCCUCCUUAUGCUGA